Molecule: long non-coding RNA, 1268 nt
Organism: Cebus imitator (Panamanian white-faced capuchin)
Lineage: Eukaryota; Metazoa; Chordata; Mammalia; Primates; Cebidae
Exons: 3
Source: RefSeq, a predicted model, not a curated record
GAGGAGGCAAGAGAGAGAAAAAAGGACAUUGAGAGAGGAGAGACUUCAGAGCCUUGGAGAAGGAGCCAAGAAGCUGCCCUCCAGGACAGGCUGGCAGGAUAUGUGGCCAUUUCAGCCAUUUCCUCACCAUCCGAAGGCCUGCCCCACUUUCCUCAUUGACUGCCACAUUGCUAAUAGCAAGUGCAUUCAUUACAUCACCAUUAGGUGUCCACUAUGACCCCAGCUCUCUCUUCUCACCAGUUCUUAAUUUCUUCCCUGGGGUAAGUGAUGUUUUUAAUGCUCCAAAUUUUAAUGCCCUGAAGUCAUCUAUGGAGCUAAUCCUUAAAUGUCAACUUUCUCUAAUUUAUCAGUUACAAUUGAAGCCUUUUGUCCUGGGCCAUUUUUCCUAGACUUCCAGCUAGGAGUCUUUGCAUCCAGAAGAAGGACGCCUCACCCCGGUCACCACACUAACGCAGGAGGGGAGGGGCAAACAGCAGCUCCCUGGGUGUGAUCUUCUCACCUCUCAGCUGAAGGAGACGCCCACUUGCUGCUGGGGUGUCAGUAGACCUGCUGCUGUGGGCAGGAAAGAGAACCACUCCCUUUCUCAGCUCCUUUUCAGAGAAAUGCAAACCUAGACACUUCAAGACAGAGGACACUGCCUUGUGGUAUCACUGAGUUCUCUCUCAGUACCGCCCAAAAGUGGACAGAUUUUCUGUUUAUUUUGCUCAUUUUCUCCAGCAUGAGUUCUGUGGCCCUUGCACGCCCAUCACUCCCCUGCCAUAAGUAACAACUCCUGCCUAUAGACAGAAUACCCUGAGAACACAGGGGUCCCACCUCCUCCCUUCAGGACCCAUUCUUUGCAGACAGUGCUCUGCCCCUUCUUCAAAUCAUUGACCAGAGUUUUCUACCUCAACUUGGUAAUCCUCCCAUCUGGCCAAUGGGAUGGGGUGGAAUAAACAUUUAUUUCACAGAUCGUUUAUUUGGAUCCCACAUGGUUUGACUGAAGCCUGGGGGAAGAGCUAUUAGGUAGGUGCCAAAGUAAUUGCCAUUACUUUCAAUGGCAAAAAUGGCAAUUACUUUGGCACCAACCUAAUAGUAAAAGACUGCCUUUAGGGGGUUCACCAUUGCUGGAGAAACCGACGUGAAAAAUGACCCUUAGAUCUAGUGCAGCAAGUAUUUCAUCAGCGUACAUACAGCCCAGGAGAGGAGACCUCCAGCCUCAAUGGGAGGAGGGCCUUAUGCAGGAGAAGGGGUAUCUGUUUUGAUUCAAGAGGUAAAUUGCAAAGGCU